GACGAACGCUGGCGGCGUGCCUAAUACAUGCAAGUAGAACGCAGUUGCGAACGGGUGAGUAACGCGUAUGUAACUGCCUCAUAGCUGGGGAUAACUAUUGGAAACGAUAGCUCAUACCGCAUACUUUUAGAUGGACCUGCGUUGUAUUAGCUAGUUGUUGAGGUAAAGGCUCACCAAGGCGACGAUAGAUAUCCGACCUGAGAGGGUGAGAGGCAACACUGGGACUGAAGCACCGGCCAGACUACGACGGGAGGCAGCAGGAGGGAAUCUUCGGAAAUGGACGGAAGUCUGAUCGAGCAACGCCGGCUGAGUGAAGAAGGUUUUCGGAGCGUAAAGCUCUGUUGUUAGAGAAGCGGUAACUAACGAGAAAGGGACGGCUAACUACGUGCCAGCAGCCGCGGUAAUAC
RNAcentral lists this ribosomal RNA (407 nucleotides) under uncultured bacterium. RNAcentral describes it as "partial 16S ribosomal RNA". It matches the Rfam family "Bacterial small subunit ribosomal RNA", at positions 28 to 526 of the family's 1533-position model. The record is from RNAcentral.